CUACGGGUCGCACCAGUGAGGAAUAUUGGACAAUGGUCGAAAGACUGAUCCAGCCAUGCCGCGUGCAGGAUGAAUGCCCUAUGGGUUGUAAACUGCUUUUAUACGGGAAGAACACCACCCACGUGUGGGUGACUGACGGUACCGUAAGAAUAAGGACCGGCUAACUCCGUGCCAGCAGCCGCGGUAAUACGGAGGGUCCAAGCGUUAUCCGGAAUCAUUGGGUUUAAAGGGUCCGUAGGCGGGCUAUUAAGUCAGAGGUGGAAGUUUGCAGCUCAACUGUAAAAUUGCCUUUGAUACUGGUAGUCUUGAGUUAUAGUGAAGUGGUUAGAAUAUGUGGUGUAGCGGUGAAAUGCAUAGAUAUCACAUAGAAUACCAAUUGCGAAGGCAGAUCACUAACUAUAUACUGACGCUGAUGGACGAAAGCGUGGGGAGCGAACGGGAUUAGAUACCCUCGUAGUC
RNAcentral lists this ribosomal RNA (459 nucleotides) under uncultured bacterium. RNAcentral describes it as "partial 16S ribosomal RNA". It matches the Rfam family "Bacterial small subunit ribosomal RNA", at positions 339 to 795 of the family's 1533-position model. The record is from RNAcentral.